AUGUCUUGUUCUCCGCCGCCCCCGCUCGCGCUCUCGAUCCUCCUCUCCCGCCUCCGCGCCUGCGGCUCCGCCCCGCACGCGCUGCAGUGCCACGCCCUCCUCCUCACCUCCGGCCACCUCGCCGCCUCCCCGCUCCGCCUCUCCAACCUCCUCCUCCUCGCGCUCGCGUCCGCCUGCGCGGCGGCCCACGCCGACGCCGUCUUCGCCCGCCUCCCGGGGGCCGCCUCCGCACACGCCUUCCCCUGGAACACCCUCAUCCGCCUCCACGCCCCCUCGAGCCCCCGCAGGGCCCUCGCCUACUUCGCGCGCAUGCGCCGUGGCGCGGUGGACCCCGACGCCUACACCUUCCCCCCCGUGCUCAAGGCGUGCGGCUGCGGGGUCGGGCUGCUGGUGCACGCCGAGGCUGUGAGGAGGGGUCUGGAUCGCGACCUGUUCACGCGGAACGCGCUGAUCAGCUUCUACUGCAGGACCGGCGACUGUCGCUCUGGGCGGAAGGUGUUCGAUGACGGCGCGCGAGACCUCGUUUCGUGGAACUCCAUGGUGGCGGGGUACGUCGGGUGCGGCGAGGUGGAGCUGGCGCAGGAGCUGUUCGACGAAAUGCCGCAUAGGGACGCCUUCUCCUGGGCCGCCAUGAUUGAUGCCUACGGGAAGCGGUCUGGAGGUGUGGACCGUGCGCGCGAGCUGUUCGAUCAAAUGCCUGAGAGGGAUCUGGUGUGCUGGAACUCGAUGAUCGAUGGGUAUGCUAGGCAGGGGAGGAUGGACGAGGCGAGGGUGCUAUUCGAUCAGAUGCCUGAGAGGAAUGUGAUCUCGUGGAGUAUUGUUGUUGACGGGUAUGUCAGGUGUGGCGAGCCUUCGGAGGCUUUGGAACUUUUCCGAAGGAUGCUGAGGUGCGGUAUCAGACCUGAUAGGGUCGCUGCAGUUGGGGCUGUCACGGCCUGCGCACAGCUGGGAGCUCUGGAGCAAGGCAGGUGGCUGCACUCUUACUUGGAGAAGAAGAAGAUUUUGUUCGAUGUUGUGGUGAAGACAGCUCUGAUAGAUAUGUACAUGAAAUGUGGGCGCUUGGAUCUCGCCAUGUUGAUCUUUGAAAGCAUGCCUGACAAGACCGUGGUUACUUGGAAUGUGAUGAUUGUUGGACUUGGAACUCAUAGCUGCGGACUUGAUGCUGUCAAGCUUUUCCGCCAAAUGGAGUCUGAAGGAGCACCAAUGGAUGAUCUUAGUGUGCUCGCCGUGCUGACUGCAUGCACACAUGCUGGGUUGAUCUCAGAGGGUUUACAGAUAUUUCAUAGAAUGAAGAAGGAUUUUGGGAUAGAUCCCAAGGUUGAACAUUAUGGUGCAUUGGUUGAUCUCCUUGGCCGUGCUGGACAUUUGGAUCAGGCUAGGCAUACCAUAGAGACAAUGCCCAUGGAACCAACUCCAGAAUUAUGGGGAUCUCUGCUUGCUGCCUGCCGAAGUCAUAGGUGCGUCGAACUGGCUGAGCUGUCGGUUGAACGCCUAGCAAGUCUUGGAGCUGAUGACUCUGGAGUCUAUGUUCUUCUGUCCAAUAUCUACGCUGAUGAAGGAAUGUGGGAUGGUGUCUCGAGGAUUAGGAGAUUGAUGAGUGCUGAAGGGAUGAAAAAGGACAUUGGAAGGAGUGUGAUUGAGGCGGAUGGACAAAUACACGAGUUUGUGAAUGGAGGCAGUUCACAUCCUGAUAAGGAUGAAAUUUACAUGAUGCUGUGGAAUUUAUCUAACAUGGUAGCAUCUGCUUGA
RNAcentral lists this ribosomal RNA (1749 nucleotides) under Triticum aestivum (bread wheat). Its description in RNAcentral is "partial small subunit ribosomal RNA". The record is from RNAcentral. Lineage: Eukaryota; Viridiplantae; Streptophyta; Magnoliopsida; Poales; Poaceae.